This is a non-coding RNA of Marasmius oreades (fairy-ring Marasmius), 99 nucleotides long. Lineage: Eukaryota; Fungi; Basidiomycota; Agaricomycetes; Agaricales; Marasmiaceae. The record is from the annotation of a RefSeq genome assembly.
GGCCUAAUGGUCUAGUAGUAUGAUUCUCGCUUUGGGUAUUCUAUAAUGUCUUGGUAAUAACCAUGCGAGAGGUCCUGGGUUCAAUUCCCAGUUAGGCCC